Long non-coding RNA from Mustela erminea (ermine), 248 nucleotides. RefSeq lists it as uncharacterized. The record is from RefSeq and is a predicted model, not a curated record. The transcript has 3 exons. Lineage: Eukaryota; Metazoa; Chordata; Mammalia; Carnivora; Mustelidae.
ACUUGUUCAAUAGACAGUGCUUGUUCUCUACUUCCUAUUCUAUUAUCAUUGGUUUUACAGAGAAAUAAGCUGGAACCCAGAAUUGCCUGGAGCCAAAUAUGAAGAUGUGCCUCUGCAGCCCCCCCAGCAGACCACCUGCACCAUUAAUGAACGAUACCACUGCCUGUGGCCCAGGAAACGGAACAUUGCAUUCUCCGUGGACAGAGCUAAGGACCAGAAUUACCCUCACAUGAAAAAGAGACCAGAGA